AUGCUGAAGCUGAAUAUUGAUGGGUCAUACAAUGAGAGUACAAGGGUGGCAGGGGCGGGUAUGAUUCUCCGUGACGACUAUGGACGAAUUGUUUUCUCUUCCUGCCGUUUUCUUAGUUGUCGCGGAUCAGCACUUGAGGCGGAACUAAGUGCCUGUAUGGAUGGCAUGUCCCUUGCACUAGAGUGGAGUCAGCAGGAUGUCCUUGUUGAAACAGAUUCUGUGGAGGUCGCUAAGAUGAUUAAUAAUCCAUCUCGAGAUAUCUCACAGCUGGGUCAUCUAGUUGAGCACGUGAAGCAUCUCAUGAACCAAGGGAGGCGUUUUGUUGUCAACAAAAUCUCCCGGAAAAUGAACCAAAGUCUAGCCCACACCACUCGGAAUUCAUCCAUUGAUGAAAGAUGUCCCUUGAUCUCUUCGAUGAGGGACCCCAGCCUGGACCUGUUCAACUCUUCGCGCGUCAACUCUUGCAUGGCGCCUUUGUUGUCCGUUUCCAAGAUCAUCUGCCGUGCGCCCAUCUCCACCGCUAGCUGA
Molecule: ribosomal RNA, 528 nt
Filed under: Triticum aestivum (bread wheat)
Lineage: Eukaryota; Viridiplantae; Streptophyta; Magnoliopsida; Poales; Poaceae
Description: partial small subunit ribosomal RNA
Source: RNAcentral